RNAcentral lists this unclassified non-coding RNA (202 nucleotides) under uncultured Amanita. RNAcentral describes it as "sequence contains ITS1". Lineage: Eukaryota; Fungi; Basidiomycota; Agaricomycetes; Agaricales; Amanitaceae. The record is from RNAcentral.
UUGAAUGAAACUUCUGGCUGGAUGUUGUUGUGCUGGCCCUUUGGGGCAAUGUGCACACCUCUAGUUGUCUGUUUCUUCUGUUCCACCUGUGCAUUGCAUGUAGACAUACACUGUGUCUAUGAUAUGGUUACACACACACACACACACAUUAUUGGUUUACAUGUGAUAUUAUAUAUAUAUAUAACAUAUGACAAUGUAUAUA